GAGCAGCCAUGCCGCGUGUAUGAUGAAGGCCUUCGGGUUGUAAAGCUCUUUUUCCGGGAGGAAGGGAGUAAUGUUUAUACCUUUGCUCAUUGACGGUACCCGCAAAGAAAGGCCGGCUAACUCCGUGCCAGCAGCCGCGGUAAUUA
Molecule: ribosomal RNA, 146 nt
Filed under: uncultured Gammaproteobacteria bacterium
Lineage: Bacteria; Pseudomonadati; Pseudomonadota; Gammaproteobacteria
Description: partial 16S ribosomal RNA
Rfam family: Bacterial small subunit ribosomal RNA
Source: RNAcentral